GCCCGUCUAGCUUAGUUGGUAGAGCGCAAGACUCUUAACCUUGUGCAACUGGGCUUAAGCCCCUGGGUGGGCA
Molecule: transfer RNA, 73 nt
Filed under: Ipomoea nil (Japanese morning glory)
Lineage: Eukaryota; Viridiplantae; Streptophyta; Magnoliopsida; Solanales; Convolvulaceae
Rfam family: tRNA
About the family: Transfer RNA (tRNA) molecules are approximately 80 nucleotides in length. Their secondary structure includes four short double-helical elements and three loops (D, anti-codon, and T loops).
Source: Rfam by way of RNAcentral